Long non-coding RNA from Apis mellifera (honey bee), 490 nucleotides. RefSeq lists it as uncharacterized. The record is from RefSeq and is a predicted model, not a curated record. The transcript is spliced from 2 exons. NCBI's taxonomy places the organism in Eukaryota, Metazoa, Arthropoda, Insecta, Hymenoptera, Apidae.
CGGCUAUGCGCACCAUCUUCCCCCUGCUAUGAAUACACCACCGAUGUGCAGCAUUCGAUUAGUAAUGGGUCUGAUCUAAUUUCAAGCUUCUUCGAUUUAUAAUCGCAUUCAAAAUAAAAUUCAAUUUUCCGUAUUAAACGAUUCUUUGGAAAUAAGAAAUAAUACAUUCUACAUACGAAUGUAUUUUCAAAGAAAUACUCUUAAAGGAAAGAAGUCCAAAAACUCAUCUAUAAUUAGCAGCAAACUUAUUGAUUUUUCUAUUUGAAAAAAUAACGAAGUUAUGAUAUAAUUUUGCAACAUUUCGCACAACAAACUCACAAUAUGCAUUGUUUUAUCAUUAAUUGCGAGAAGUGCGAAGAUUACAAGCGUAGGAUUCCGCGAUUUAUGAAUGAUUUGGAGGAGUGAAUGAACGGGGUCGACGCAUGCGCGCCUCUAUCCAGAUUCCAUUCCCAUUCCAAUCUUGUUUCUAUUCUCUCCUUCUAUGUUUUAU